AAAGUUUUUCGGUGUAGGAUGAGGCUAUAUUGUAUCAGCUAGUUGGUGAGGUAAUGGCUCACCAAGGCUAUGACGCAUAACUGGUCUGAGAGGAUGAUCAGUCACACUGGAACUGAGACACGGUCCAGACUCCUACGGGAGGCAGCAGUAGGGAAUAUUGCUCAAUGGGGGAAACCCUGAAGCAGCAACGCCGCGUGGAGGAUGACACUUUUCGGAGCGUAAACUCCUUUUGUUAGGGAAGAACAAUGACGGUACCUAACGAAUAAGCACCGGCUAACUCCGUGCCAGCAGCCGCGGUAAUACGGAGGGUGCAAGCGUUACUCGGAAUCACUGGGCGUAAAGGACGCGUAGGCGGAUUAUCAAGUCUCUUGUGAAAUCCUAUGGCUUAACCAUAGAACUGCUUGGGAAACUGAUAAUCUAGAGUGAGGGAGAGGCAGAUGGAAUUGGUGGUGUAGGGGUAAAAUCCGUAGAGAUCACCAGGAAUACCCAUUGCGAAGGCGAUCUGCUGGAACUCAACUGACGCUAAUGCGUGAAAGCGUGGGGAGCAAACAGGAUUAGAUACCCUGGUAGUCCACGCCCUAAACGAUGUAUACUAGUUGUUGCUAAGCUAGUCUUGGCAGUAAUGCACCUAACGGAUUAAGUAUACCGCCUGGGGAGUACGGUCGCAAGAUUAAAACUCAAAGGAAUAGACGGGGACCCGCACAAGCGGUGGAGCAUGUGGUUUAAUUCGAAGAUACGCGAAGAACCUUACCCGGACUUGAUAUCUAACAAAUCAUCUAGAGAUAGAAGAGUGUCUGCUCGCAGAAAUGUUAAGACAGGUGCUGCACGGCUGUCGUCAGCUCGUGUCGUGAGAUGUUGGGUUAAGUCCCGCAACGAGCGCAACCCACGUCAUUAGUUGCUAACAGUUCGGCUGAGCACUCUAAUG
Molecule: ribosomal RNA, 925 nt
Filed under: Campylobacter concisus
Lineage: Bacteria; Pseudomonadati; Campylobacterota; Epsilonproteobacteria; Campylobacterales; Campylobacteraceae
Description: bacterial SSU rRNA
Rfam family: Bacterial small subunit ribosomal RNA
Source: RNAcentral